AUGGAGCAGCUCCAAGAAACACCGCACGGAGAUGGAAAUCUCAAGGCCGCCCCAGAUCCCGGACUCGGAGGCGGCAAUGGCGGCUGCAUCGCUCCCAAUGGCACCCUCCCCUGCGGCUGGCUCGGUCGUCUGUCCCGCGAGCUGCAUUGGAGCUUCGUGCUCGCCGUCGUCGCCGUCUACGGCGCCUGCCAGGGCGUCGGCUCCUCAUUCGGCAGCGUCGCCGCGGGGUACUACUGGAAGGACGUGCAGCGCGUGCAGCCGGCCGCCUCGCAGUUCUACCAGGGCGUCGUCAACGUGCCCUGGGUCGUCAAGCCCCUGUGGGGCCUCUUCACCGACGUCGUCCCCGUCGCCGGCUACCGCCGCCGCCCGUACCUCCUCCUCGCAGGCGUCAUGGGCGUGUCGUCCAUGCUCACGCUUGCUCUGCGCCGCACGCCGGCGAUCGCACCGGCAUUGGUGGCGUUCACGACGCAGGCCGCGGGCGCCGCCAUAGCCGACGUGGUGGUGGACGCCAUGGUCGCGCAGAACAGCAUAAGCCACCCUCCGCUCGCCGCCGACAUGCAGAGCAUGUGCGGGUAUUGCUCCUCCGCCGGCGCAUUGGUGGGGUACUCCAUCAGCGGCCUCGUCGUUCACGCAAUAGGUUCCCAGGGGGCUCUUGGCUUGCUGAGCAUCCCCUCCGUGCUCGUAUUUUCGGCCGGGAUUCUUGUCAAGGAGGAGCGGGCCAAGGAUUUCGAGUACAACCAGGUUCACAAGAAGUUCUACGAAGCAGUUGAAUCAAUGUGGUCAACAUUGAAGUGCCCGCAAGUCUGGAGGCCGUGCGUUUACAUGUUCUUAAUGUUCGUGCUAAGCCCGGACAUCCAAGGAGGGCUGUUCUACUGGUACACAGAUUCGAGCACCGGACUCGCAUUUUCCGAGGGAUUCAUUGGUCUCAUCUACUCGAUAGGCUCAGUGGGCUCGCUGCUCGGCGUCCUGCUCUACCAGAACAUGCUCAAGGACUACCCGUUCCGCGGCCUGCUCCUAUGGGGCCAGCUGCUGGCCUGCCUGUCCGGGAUGAUCGACCUGGUGCUGGUCACCAGGCUGAACCUGAGGAUCGGCAUGGCGGACUACCUCUUCGCUGUGAUGGACAACAGCGUCUCCCAGCUGAUCGGCCAGCUGAAAUGGCUGCCGCUCCUCGUGCUCUGCUCCAAGCUCUGCCCCGUGGGCAUCGAGGGCACCUUCUUCGCGCUGCUCAUGUCCAUCCAGAACCUCGGCCUGCUCAUGUCCGCCUGGUGGGGCGGCCUCCUGCUGCACGCGCUGGGCGUGUCUCGGACCGAGUUCGGGAACCUCUGGGUGGCCGUGCUGGCGAGGAACGCCAUGCGGCUGCUCCCGCUGGCGUUCCUGUUCCUGGUGCCUCGGAGCGACCAGAGCUCGACCAUCCUUCCCGCGGAGAUGCUGCUUGCGGAUGGAGGUUCCGCGGGACAUGUGGAACCAGGGUCGUCAGGUGUCAUCGAGUUUUCUGUCCUCCAUGGAAAUGAAAAUGGUGAAGUUGUUGAGACUGAGGAAGAGGAACUAGAGCUGACCCCACUCAUGGAGAAGAUUUGA
RNAcentral lists this ribosomal RNA (1578 nucleotides) under Triticum aestivum (bread wheat). Its description in RNAcentral is "partial small subunit ribosomal RNA". Lineage: Eukaryota; Viridiplantae; Streptophyta; Magnoliopsida; Poales; Poaceae. The record is from RNAcentral.